ACCGAAAUACUAGAGGUAGAUGAUUGCAGCCCAUCAUUUAUGAAGAAAAUGCGCGAGUGGCGAUCCUUAUUUGGUGCAGAAGCUAAAAUACGUUCUUCAAGUACGGAUCUAUAAAGGUAAUUAAUGGUCGUCAAAUCUAUGUGAAAUAUUUAGGGAUUGUUUUUCUACCAAACCAAUUCUAUCUAUGCUCUCGAAACUCGAAAGAAGGAAGAUGUAUACUCUUUCUAAAGAGUGAUACCAAAAAAUAAGUGGCGUUUUAGUUAAUAUUGUAUCUUUCAUCCUAUAAUCAUUUUUCAGUUCAUUAACCAUUAUAUAUGUACCAGAGCAAUUCUAUGUUGAUCGAUUUUCAACUUAGCUGCACGUUGAAUUUUGCUUUUUCGUCAGUGAAUUUUUGCUGCUUGAUCCUUGAAAACGUUGAAGAGAGGUUUUGACUGAUUAUUCUUUAUCUGUGUGUACAGGAAUAUAAUAAAUUCCAAAUGGCUAAUCGUGUGUUGCUCGGCGAUUGAAAUGCCUCAACUAUUCAAAUGAAGAUGAAGAUUCCUAUUCGGCAAGUGUCACAAAAUUUCGAAGCUUCCAU
RNAcentral lists this long non-coding RNA (577 nucleotides) under Erythranthe guttata (spotted monkey flower). RNAcentral's name for it is "long non-coding RNA (EGUT_LNC001615)". Lineage: Eukaryota; Viridiplantae; Streptophyta; Magnoliopsida; Lamiales; Phrymaceae. The record is from RNAcentral.